CAUUAGCCCUAGAAAACACCACUACCAUCCUGGCUGAGAAUGUAAGAAAAGCAACAGAAGAAGAAUCACCCCCUUGACACUUGAAAUCUAUAGCCCAGCCUUCUCCAAAUCACUUGAGUGGUUCUUACCGUCUACGACCUUUUGGAUUAAUGUGUGAAGGGCCACUCUCUCUAGAUGGAAGCAGAGCCCAGGACACUGCUGGAGUCCCUUGUGUGUCAUAGCUUGGUGGUUUGGAUGCCACCAGCCAAGCACAGG
Lepidothrix coronata (blue-crowned manakin) is the source of this 255-nucleotide long non-coding RNA. RefSeq lists it as uncharacterized. The record is from RefSeq and is a predicted model, not a curated record. The transcript is spliced from 3 exons. NCBI's taxonomy places the organism in Eukaryota, Metazoa, Chordata, Aves, Passeriformes, Pipridae.